RNAcentral lists this ribosomal RNA (233 nucleotides) under uncultured bacterium. RNAcentral's name for it is "partial 16S ribosomal RNA". It matches the Rfam family "Bacterial small subunit ribosomal RNA", at positions 15 to 240 of the family's 1533-position model. The record is from RNAcentral.
GAUCAUGGCUCAGGAUGGACGCUAGCUACAGGCUUAACACAUGCAAGUCGAGGGGCAGCAUGAACUUAGCUUGCUAAGUUUGAUGGCGACCGGCGCACGGGUGAGUAACACGUAUCCAACCUGCCGAUGACUCGGGGAUAGCCUUUCGAAAGAAAGAUUAAUACCCGAUGGCAUAGUUCUUCCGCAUGGUAGAACUAUUAAAGAAUUUCGGUCAUCGAUGGGGAUGCGUUCUA